This 284-nucleotide long non-coding RNA is filed under the name Gossypium raimondii (Peruvian cotton). RNAcentral's name for it is "long non-coding RNA (GRAI_LNC003626)". The record is from RNAcentral. Lineage: Eukaryota; Viridiplantae; Streptophyta; Magnoliopsida; Malvales; Malvaceae.
CGGGGGUUUGAGGGUCUGGGGAGUUGUUUCUCCGAACGACGCAGAAGAGGUUUUUUUUUAGUUUUAGUUUUGGUUUUCGUUUUGGAGGAUAGGUUUAGUUUUUUUUAGGUUUUUUUUUAGUCUUAAACACGGGGGAUCAAGACGUCGUCGUUUGUCGCUGAUACGAUGGCUUCAAAACGGCGUCGUCCGAUGACCAGAUCCGAGCGGUGACCCGAUUCGGGUAGGAUCCGCGCAUUGUGGAUCGAUUGGUCUAUUUAUUCAGCAGAUCCCUUUGUGUUUCAAAU